UAGAUCCUGUCCGUCCCUUUAGACACAACGAAUAUGAGAGAUUCAUACCAGCAGCAUAUCCCUAUUACGGAGCAGCAUUUUCAAUGAUGGCGGGUUUCUUCAUCUUCACUGAUGUUCAUCUAUACCACAAGUAGUUGUAAACCCUUUGAUCCAAGAUAAUGUAGUAUGUAGCACCAUAACGAUUGGAUUUGAAUGCUGAGAUUGAAAAUUUUGACUAGGAUAUAAAAUGCAAAUUUUUAAUUUAUUA
Non-coding RNA from Arachis ipaensis, 247 nucleotides. NCBI's taxonomy places the organism in Eukaryota, Viridiplantae, Streptophyta, Magnoliopsida, Fabales, Fabaceae. The record is from RefSeq and is a predicted model, not a curated record.